UCAAAAAAACAGUGUAAAACA
Molecule: non-coding RNA, 21 nt
Filed under: Caenorhabditis elegans
Lineage: Eukaryota; Metazoa; Nematoda; Chromadorea; Rhabditida; Rhabditidae
Source: RNAcentral